This 374-nucleotide long non-coding RNA is filed under the name Malus domestica (apple). RNAcentral describes it as "long non-coding RNA (MDOM_LNC010933)". The record is from RNAcentral. Lineage: Eukaryota; Viridiplantae; Streptophyta; Magnoliopsida; Rosales; Rosaceae.
GGGGACAUAAAACACCGCAACAUCGUCACCCUUCAUGGAUAUUACACUGCUCCAAACUAUAAUCUUCUCAUAUAUGAACUGGUGCCUAAUGGAAGUUUGGAUGCAGUCCUGCAUGGUAUGCACAUAUGCACUCAAAUUUUACAAAAAUGCAAAAUUUCCAUUUGUCUAUGGUGAUCAUCUGGUAAAUUACGAUGCAGGAAGAUCAACGGACAAGAUGCUUUUGGAUUGGCCUACCAGAUACAAAAUAGCACUAGGUGCAGCAAGAGGAAUAUCGUACCUUCAUCACGAUUGCAUCCCUCACAUAAUCCACAGAGAUAUCAAAUCAAGCAACAUCUUGUUGGAUCAAAACAUGGAGGCUCGAGUGUCUGAUUUCG